GUGAUAUAGGAAGAUAUGGAAUCCAUUUACUUAUAUAGCAGUAGUACAGUAUAUUAUCAACAUUAUAUAUAAUUAGCUAGCUAGCUAGACACCCUUCAUUGAUUGCAUAAAUAAAACAAAAGGAAUAUCAAGGUAUCUUAAAGAGGAUUAAUAUAUCUGAUGAUUAUGAAGAUAGCUCUUCUCGUACUCAUGGUGACGUUGGUGCUGACAUCAGCAACUACGGAGGGAGUGGAUGCAAAACUGAGCAGAAAGGUAAGCGCUGGUGUAAACAAUAAUCAGAAAGUUACUAACAAGAAUGUGGCUGCUGGAAAUUUCGAGGUGAUUAAUGAUGCUGAUGGGUUCUACCCACGUGAUUCGAGCCCUGGAUCACACCGUAGAUAUGAUACUAAGGAUGCUCCGGGACAAGGCAGACACUGAAGAUCAUAUGCGAUGUAAUAUCAACGUCCUCAUGCAUGCAAUGGCUCCAUGUUCGGUGAAUUAGUUUUCUGUAUGUUUCUGUUUGAUGUUGUAAUGAAGAUCACCAGAGCACAGCGUGAUCGUAUGUUAGGUGGUUAUGAGUUAAGUGCAUGCAUGCUCUGUGUGUUUGUUUACGUGAAUUUGUGUGAUUAUUAUGUGUAUGUAAUAAAAUGAUCAUGGCCAGCAUGAGGUGCUUUUCUUAA
Daucus carota subsp. sativus is the source of this 659-nucleotide long non-coding RNA. RefSeq lists it as uncharacterized. The record is from RefSeq and is a predicted model, not a curated record. The transcript is spliced from 2 exons. NCBI's taxonomy places the organism in Eukaryota, Viridiplantae, Streptophyta, Magnoliopsida, Apiales, Apiaceae.